CACGAAACUGUAUGAGCUAACUAAAAUUGAAACUAUGUUGCAUAAUAGAUAAAAAGUUAUAGUUAGGGGUGAAAGGCCUUUCAAACGCAGAGAUAUCUUGAUUUUCCCCAAAAGUAUUGAGUACGUUGGGAAGUUUAGAGCGACAAGGUUUUAAACAAUCAUUAAGCAUAAUUAAUUAAGAAUGUUGAUAUAAAAAUCUACAAGAAUGUAAAUAAAUAUUAAUAAUUAAGAAUUAUGGUACAUAGGGAAAUAUUUAUUAAUUUAACCUAAGGUUAACAAUGUUAAUAUUAGUAAUUUGAAGGUGCCAAUAGUGAACUCGGCAUCAAGCUUUCAACUGUUUAUCAAAAACAUAGCUACGUGUAGUACACGUAGUAAUUUCUGCUCAAUGAGAUAUUUAAAUAGCCGCAGUACCCUGACUGUGCAAAGGUAGCGUAAUCAAUUGUCUUUUAAUUAAAGACGGGUAUGAAUGAAUAUAUGGGGGCUUUCUUUACCAUUGGUAUUAAUAGAAUUUACUUAACGAGUGGAAAAUACACGUAGAUAAAUAAUAGACGAGAAGACCCUUGAAAUUUUUAAUAGUUUUUUGUUGGGGCAACAUAAUAGCAGAUAACCUACUGAGAUUAACUAGAAAUUUUGUAGUGUGAUUAAAUUACUCUAGGGAUAACAGCGUAAUUUCGAAUUGUUUGUGACCUCGAUGUUGGAUUAGGGAAUUGUCGCUUAGAA
Molecule: ribosomal RNA, 720 nt
Filed under: Kimberleytrachia alphacentauri
Lineage: Eukaryota; Metazoa; Mollusca; Gastropoda; Stylommatophora; Camaenidae
Description: partial 16S ribosomal RNA
Rfam family: Archaeal large subunit ribosomal RNA (bases 325-484)
Source: RNAcentral